GAGAAAUGAGGACAAUUCUUGAAGUCCUAUCUCAUGGUGAGGACUUUCAGAUCCAACUCUGAUCUCAUCUGUCUG
Molecule: small nucleolar RNA, 75 nt
Organism: Bufo bufo (common toad)
Lineage: Eukaryota; Metazoa; Chordata; Amphibia; Anura; Bufonidae
Product: small nucleolar RNA SNORD19
Exons: 1
Source: RefSeq, a predicted model, not a curated record